This 502-nucleotide ribosomal RNA is filed under the name uncultured bacterium. RNAcentral describes it as "partial 16S ribosomal RNA". It matches the Rfam family "Bacterial small subunit ribosomal RNA", at positions 28 to 523 of the family's 1533-position model. The record is from RNAcentral.
GAUGAACGCUAGCGGCAGGCCUAACACAUGCAAGUCGAGGGGCAGCACAGAAACAGCAAUGUUUUGGUGGCGACCGGCGGACGGGUGCGUAACGCGUAUGCAACCUACCUUUAACAGGGGGAUAACGGAGAGAAAUUUCCACUAAUACCCCAUAACAUCGAUCAAGGCAUCUUGAUUGGUUGAAAACUCCGGUGGUUAGAGAUGGGCAUGCGUUGUAUUAGGUAGUUGGUGAGGUAAUGGCUCACCAAGCCUACGAUACAUAGGGGGACUGAGAGGUUAGCCCCCCACACUGGUACUGAGACACGGACCAGACUCCUACGGGAGGCGGCAGUGAGGAAUAUUGGUCAAUGGGGGCAACCCUGAACCAGCCAUGCCGCGUGCAGGAAGACGGCUCUAUGAGUUGUAAACUGCUUUUAAACAGGGAUAAAGCACAGUAUGUAUACUGUGUUGAAGGUACUGUAAGAAUAAGGAUCGGCUAACUCCGUGCCAGCAGCCGCCGCGG